CCUACGGGUGGCUGCAGUGAGGAAUAUUGGUCAAUGGGCGCGAGCCUGAACCAGCCAAGUCGCGUGAGGGAAGACGGUCCUAUGGAUUGUAAACCUCUUUUGUCGGGGAGCAAAAGAAGCCACGCGUGGCGAUCCGAGAGUACCCGAAGAAAAAGCAUCGGCUAACUCCGUGCCAGCAGCCGCGGUAAUACGGAGGAUGCGAGCGUGAUCCGGAUGUAUUGGGUUAAAAGGGUGCUCAGGCGGAAGUUCAAGUCAGCGGUAAAAUUGAGAGGCUCAACCUCUUCUAGCCGUUGAAACUGGUUUUCUUGUGUGUGUUUGACGUAUGCGGCAUGCGUGGUGUAGCGGUCAAAUGCAUCGAUAUCACGCAGAACUCCGAUUGCGAAGGCAGCUUACCGGCCCUCAACUGACGCUCAUGCACGACAGUGUGGGUAUCGAACAGGAUUAGAUACCCGGGUAGUC
This 459-nucleotide ribosomal RNA is filed under the name uncultured bacterium. RNAcentral's name for it is "partial 16S ribosomal RNA". It matches the Rfam family "Bacterial small subunit ribosomal RNA", at positions 338 to 795 of the family's 1533-position model. The record is from RNAcentral.